GAUGAACGCUGGCGGCGUGCCUAAUACAUGCAAGUCGAGCGAACAGACGAGGAGCUUGCUCCUCUGACGUUAGCGGCGGACGGGUGAGUAACACGUGGAUAACCUACCUAUAAGACUGGGAUAACUUCGGGAAACCGGAGCUAAUACCGGAUAAUAUAUUGAACCGCAUGGUUCAAUAGUGAAAGACGGUUUUGCUGUCACUUAUAGAUGGAUCCGCGCCGCAUUAGCUAGUUGGUAAGGUAACGGCUUUCCAAGGCAACGAUGCGUAGCCGACCUGAGAGGGUGAUCGGCCAAACUGGAACUGAGACACGGUCCAGACUCCUACGGGAGGCAGCAGUAGGGAAUCUUCCGCAAUGGGCGAAAGCCUGACGGAGCAACGCCGCGUGAGUGAUGAAGGUCUUCGGAUCGUAAAACUCUGUUAUUAGGGAAGAACAAAUGUGUAAGUAACUAUGCACGUCUUGACGGUACCUAAUCAGAAAGCCACGGCUAACUACGUG
This 497-nucleotide ribosomal RNA is filed under the name uncultured bacterium. Its description in RNAcentral is "partial 16S ribosomal RNA". It matches the Rfam family "Bacterial small subunit ribosomal RNA", at positions 28 to 507 of the family's 1533-position model. The record is from RNAcentral.